Molecule: ribosomal RNA, 434 nt
Filed under: uncultured bacterium
Lineage: Bacteria
Description: bacterial SSU rRNA
Rfam family: Bacterial small subunit ribosomal RNA
Source: RNAcentral
UACGGGAGGCAGCAGUGGGGAAUAUUGGACAAUGGGCGAAAGCCUGAUCCAGCCAUGCCGCAUGAGUGAAGAAGGCCUUCGGGUUGUAAAGCUCUUUUAGUGAGAAAGAUAAUGACGGUACUCACAGAAGAAGUCCUGGCUAACUCCGUGCCAGCAGCCGCGGUAAUACGGAGAGGGCUAGCGUUAUUCGGAAUUAUUGGGCGUAAAGAGCGCGUAGGCUGAUUUAGUAAGUUAAAAGUGAAAUCCCAAAGCUUAACUUUGGAAUUGCUUUUUAAAACUGCUAGUCUAGAGAUUGAAAGAGGAUAGAGGAAUUCCUAGUGUAGAGGUGAAAUUCGUAAAUAUUAGGAGGAACACCAGUGGCGAAGGCGUCUAUCUGGUUCAAAUCUGACGCUGAGGCGCGAAGGGCGUGGGGAGCAAACGAGGGAUUAGAUACC